UGCCCAAGGUCACACCGCUUUUAAAUGACAAAGCAGAACUGGAACUUGCAUCACCGGGGCUCCCCCGGCGGGCGGGAGCGGGACAACACACCCGUGCCCCCAGAGCCGGCCACUGCCCUCGGGCUUCUCCCUAAGGAGGUGGGCUGGUGCUCAACCCUGGAGCUUCGCUGUCCCUGUGUCGGCGGAAAGGACUCGGCUCCGGUGGUCCACUCAGGGGUGCGCGGGGAGCCCCUGGGAGACGGGCGGUCCUGGAGGGCAGCCGCCCCUCUGCGCCCCGGCGCCUCCGGUGCGUCUGCAGCAACAUGGGGCAUCCAUCGGGGCUGGUUCGGUUCACGGAACUCGGAGGUUUUCCCCGCCCAGAGCUGAUGCGCACAGUCGAACAAGAGCAACUCACGGAAGAGGUUGUUUUUGUAAUUCGUUGCUGAUCCCUUUUCUCCUCGUUCUGUGGGAUUUUACCCAGCUGCUAGCCCCACUGAGCACCCGGCGAUAGCUGGCAAACGUCAUCUACAGCCGGGUAAGUGGGGACGAGGCGCUGUGGGCGCGGGAAAGCCGGUGGCUCGGGGGGCGUGGCCUCCAGAACCGCACCUGACGGCGGGAGCGCACGGAGCCGACGGGCAGCUGCAGGGGGCCGUGCACACUCCCGGGGCAGCCUGCUUCCCGCCGGCUUCUGCGGUCUUGCGGGGCCACAAACCCAGAGCUACAAACGCACUGGCCGCAUUCCUGCGCGGUCAGACCGGGCCAGUCUGGACACCGGGAGCCCGGUGUCCUGAAGGCUCCCAGGAGCCAAGCCGUCACCAGCCUUGCAGUCCUGCCCCCGCCCCCACCCCACAACAAUGGACGUCUGUGCUGUCCUUCCCGGCCCUCCCCUCCCUCCUUCCUGCCAGGAGCAUCACCUCGAAGGGGGCAGGAGGGCUCCAGGUCAGAGACACGUCGAGGAGACCGCCUCUGCGUGCUGUCAGGACGGACUGGCUGUGCUGUGUAACACACACGCCCAAACCUGGAGGCUCACACAAGUCACCUGCGGUGGCCUCUGACCCCCACGGGCCUCAUUCCUGGCGCCUGGUCUCAGGCAGGCCGCAGGUCCAGUCGGGAAGAAAGAACGCGGAGAAUCAGGAACCAGCUUUUCAGUGUUCGCCCUUGGGUGACACAUGGCCCUUCUGAUGAAGGUCACGGCAAGAAAUGUGCACGGCACUGAGGACCCCAGAGUACCACCCGGUGCUCAGUGAGACGCAGGUCAGGGUCCAUCCCUGAUCCUAACCACAGACUCAGCUUUUGCCAAGUCCUCCUGGUCCUGCGGGUGUUGGUCCCGUCAGGAACGAGUUUGGACAGCAAGAAAGAGGCCGGCCUUCUUUUUUUCUGUGAGCUCGGUGACUCUUGUCCCGUGCAGGAUCUGUUCACACCACACUCGUCCCUCUGGCCCAUCACCUGCACCCAGCCUGGGCUGGUCCAGGCUCAGCUUCCGUGUCUCUGGAGCCUGGCCCAGGAUGAGGGAGCCAAGCCUCUUUCACCAUCCGUCCAUCCAAGUGGCAGUGGCCUCCUAAGUGUAAGCCAGUGACAUCCAGCUGCAUCUGGAAACUCAGCCCCGGGACAAAGUCCAGAUCCCCUCAGAGGACCCAGCAGAGGACCCGCCAGCCGGCAGGGCUCCCCGUUUCUCCUGGACACCCUUCCCUCCGCCGCCGACCCUGCCUCCCUACAUCUCUCUCCACCGAGUCAGUGCUUUCCUAUUUCCACCACGGUUGAGUGAAUACGGUCCCCACGGCCACAUGUGGAGAUGAUGCGGCAGGGAGCGUCUGUGGAGGACGUUGGAGGCGGUGCUACAAAACCUGCAGCCUUCAAGUCUUUCCACCGCCCUCUGGCGCCCUCUGGUGACAGACUGCAGACGCCCGCUUGAGGCCAAACCCCUUUCCUGUUUUGGAGUGAAGACAGACCUGGCCCAGCAGGAACUGACGUCCUGAGAGGAGGGGCGGGGAGGGGGCACCGUCACUCAGGCCGGGACCGGGGCCAGGGCAAUCGCUGAGUGCAUGUGCUGGGGGCCAAGUGGAGCUGAGCCCCUGUGGGGGCAGCGACACUGGCUGGCCCUACUGGGUGGGGCUUCCCCUCCUUUGGAUGCUCCCCUUUCCUUUGCUGGCGUUCAAAUAUGGCUGCCUGCCCCCCACCCCUCAGCAGCCGGCUCGCUCCCCCAGAAGAGACUGCGUCCACCUCUGCACCUCCUUCCAGCCUCAGCGAUAUAACAGCCAGAGGGACUGACUCAGAAGUCCAUGGAGCAGUCCAGGCCACUGGCUUCAGAGAAUCCAGAUAAGCUUAGAACCUGUCAGCACACUUGAAAAUCACUUAGAAGACUGAGGCAUGAGGAAAUAGACGCUCUGAAUACUAGUUACUAGUAAGGAGAUUGGCUCAGGGAUCAAAAACCUCCAGCAGACAAAAGUCCAGAACCAGAUGGCCUCACCGGGGAAUUCCACCGAACAUCAAAGGAGGGAUUAACACCAAUCUUUCCCAAAAUCUUCCAAAAAAUAGAAGAAAGGGUGGGGGGAACACUUAAAAAUCCAUUCUGAGUCCAGCAUUACCCUCAUACCAAAGCCAGACAAGGACGCGAGAAGAAAAGAAUCCCACAGGCCAGGGUUUCUGAACAUAGAUUUUAAAAAAUCCUCAAAUUGUCAGCAAACAAACUUGAGCAACACUUUCAAAGGAUCACACACACCAUGAUCAAGCGGGAUUUAUCCCUGGAAUGCACGGAUAGUUCAACAUCUGCAAAUCAACAUGGUACAUUAAAUGAAGGUUAAAAAUCACAUCAUCAUCUCGAUACGUGUUGCAGAAAAAGCAUUUGAUGAAACUCAACACCCGUGCAUGAUAAAAAGUUUCAACAAAGUGAGAAUAGAGGGAACACACAGCAUAAUAAAGGCCAUGUAUGAGAAGGCCACAGCUAAUGUCACACUCAGCUGUGAAAAGCUGAGAGCUCUUCCUCGAAGAUCAGGAAUAAGACAGGGAUAUCUGGUCUCAACACUCCUGUUCAAUGCACUACUGGAAGUCCUAACCACAGUAAUCAGGCCAUAUGAAACACACAAGGCAUCCAAAUUGGAAAGGAAGAAGUAAAACUGUCACUGUUUGCAGAUGACAUGAUACUUAUAUAGGAUACCCUGAAGACACCCACCCCAAAACCGUUAGACCCAAUCAACAAAUUCAGUGGUGUUGCAGGUUACAAAAUCAAUACACACAAAUCUGUUGUUUCCAUAUACUGAUAUGAUAAACAAUCGGAAGAAAAAUUAACUGUCAUUUACAAUUGCAUGAAAAACAAUAAGAUACUCAGGAAUAAAUUUAACCAAGGAGGUGAGAUAUCUGUACGUGAAAAGCGAUAAGACAUUGAUAAAAAAAAAAAAAAAAAAUGAAGACACAAAUGGAAAGCUAUACCACAUUUAUGCAUUGAAAGAAUUAAUAUUGUUAAAAUGUCCACAUUAUCUAAAGCAGUCUACAGAUUU
Molecule: long non-coding RNA, 3473 nt
Organism: Prionailurus viverrinus (fishing cat)
Lineage: Eukaryota; Metazoa; Chordata; Mammalia; Carnivora; Felidae
Exons: 5
Source: RefSeq, a predicted model, not a curated record